Molecule: transfer RNA, 66 nt
Filed under: Loxodonta africana (African savanna elephant)
Lineage: Eukaryota; Metazoa; Chordata; Mammalia; Proboscidea; Elephantidae
Rfam family: tRNA
About the family: Transfer RNA (tRNA) molecules are approximately 80 nucleotides in length.
Source: Rfam by way of RNAcentral
GCAGUGGUAGUUCAGAGGUAGAAUUCUCACCUUCAGAAGGCAUGAGUUCGAUUCCCAGCCAGUGCA